GGAUAUGAAGGCAAUUUGGCUGUGACAUCUGUCACCCAUCACCAUGGCUUCUUCAUUGCUUCACGUGCAUCUGCCCCAAAGCUGUGCACUCAGUGCUCUCGAUGGAAGAGGACGACCUUCCCUGUAUAUAGGAGAGCCUAUCUUCAGACAAGGGUAUAUGAGUAGCUACACUCCCCUGCUACAACCUCCAAACAAGCUCAGAGAAGAAGAAAAAUGAUGGUGCAUACCUUUAAUCCCACCUAGCAUUUGGGAGACAGAUGCAGGUGGAUCUCUAUGAGUUU
This 281-nucleotide small nuclear RNA is filed under the name Microtus ochrogaster (prairie vole). RNAcentral describes it as "7SK RNA (ENSMOCG00000005233.1)". It matches the Rfam family "7SK RNA". From Rfam's summary of the family: 7SK was discovered as an abundant small nuclear RNA in the mid-70s but a possible function has only recently been suggested. Two independent studies have found that 7SK RNA binds the CDK9/cyclin T complex (known as elongation factor P-TEFb). P-TEFb activates transcription by phosphorylating the C-terminal domain of RNA polymerase II. Lineage: Eukaryota; Metazoa; Chordata; Mammalia; Rodentia; Cricetidae. The record is from RNAcentral.